Marmota marmota marmota (Alpine marmot) is the source of this 86-nucleotide small nucleolar RNA. Ensembl annotates it as small nucleolar RNA, C/D box 35A. Its record names the gene SNORD35A. Lineage: Eukaryota; Metazoa; Chordata; Mammalia; Rodentia; Sciuridae. The record is from Ensembl.
GGCAAAUGAUGUUUUUUCUCACGAUGGUCUGCGGAUGCCACUGUGUGCAGUGCCGAGAACGCCAAAGGCUUAGCUGAUGCCAGGAG